GUGAAGUACCUCCGGGCAGACAAGGAGGAAUCAGGCGGGAGCGCCUAGCUGCAUUGACGUCACCGCUGACGUCAAGCCCUCCGUCCAGCGACCAGUCCGGCGGGCAAAGCGGCGGUCGGAAGGGCACCAUUGACGUCAAAGCCCCCGUAGCGACGACGCCCUCUCAGAAUGGCCCCAGAAGCGAGGGGGGAACCCGAUGCCAUCGGCAGUUCUGCGGCCGAGGAGCUACCAAGAGCAGCGCUCCAAGUGCGGCAAGGAAAGCUGGUGUUCCACGUGCUGUACCUCAGUUCGCGCGCCAGGCCGUAUGACUCCUUGAUGUGAUUGCGGCCACGAGACGCGGCACAUUCGAGCGGGGAAGGUUUUCGGCGGAACUCCGAGGCGAAACCAGGGGAAGAAUCGUUCCUGGGAGGGAAACGGAGUCUCCGGGUGCCUUGAAGUUGGUAUCACUGCUGCCCUGCUUCCCGCGUCUUUUCCUCGGACACCACGCCGGCUGGAGUGCAAGGCUUGUUGUUUAACCCACGGAACAAACAAGAGAGGUGAAGUAACUGCGCGUCUGUUCCAAGGGACCCUCCCGGUGCUUCCAGCGCGGUGUCUCCUGGCACAUCGGCGGAAGAGCGGACAGGGGCGCGCUGCGGGAACGGCAGUGGGGCCUUACUGUGCAGUGAACCACGCCGCGUCGACCAGGAUGGCUCGUCUCCCCGCACCGGCCAGAGGUCGGGGUCCUCGAGCUGACGGCGGCGGCUGCGGCGACGACGACCGUCCACGGGGUCGCAGCGUCUCUCCCAGAGGCGCCACGUCUCCCCUGGGAAGCGGCCAGCCCCCAGGAUGCACCUCACCCCCCAGGUGUUGCCUCGAUGACGACGACGACGACCGACCAGGCGUGACUCCCUCCGGCCCCAGGACAGCGAGGCGGCGGUCCGUGGCGACUGCGCCGUGGCCUCGUCACGUCGUGCCGGAUGCUGGGGGUCCCGUCGCGUCUCUCAACUUCAGGUGCACUCACACUUGCCUUUAAAGGCCCCCCCGGUCUGCCCGGGCACACACACACGACGCGCAGAGCUCCAGGGAAAAAAAAAACAACGCGAUUUCCAAACUACUCAAGAUAUCCGGGUGGGGGUCUGCUUACGAAAAAAAAAAAAAACAUUUAAGAGUUCGCUGAGGGCCAAAAAAAGUACUUUUGAUUUCGGAUUAAGUUUUUAAACUGUAAUUUUUAGAUCAGUUAAGAUGUCUAAAACGCAUGUUUUCAGAGUAAUUUUUAGGCGUAAAAACAACCAGUACAGAUUCUUGUAAACACUUAAGGGACUUGAAUCACACCUUUAUCUUCAUUUAUCGGCCAAAUAAUGUUACGGUCAACCGCUCAAAUUUCACAGUUGUCCUGUGAUGACGAGAAGACUGCGAGUCAGUCCACAGUCUUGCGCUUAGAGGCGAUACCGCGCUAAAAGCACCAGCGACCGUCGCACUCAUCAUCCCGCCUCACUGACACACAUACACCCCUGACGAGGUGUCCCAGCUUUCAUUCGCUAUGAUUUCACUUUGACCUGUACUUGCACAAGUUAAACCAUAUCCCUACCCUCAAACUUCUGUUCUUAACGUCAGUGCAAUAGUGAUAUCUGAUUGAUUUUUUUUUUAAAAAAAAUAAUUAAAAUUCUAAUAUUCACAUGUUUAAGGUUGAUAACUUUGAACUAUUUACAUAUGCACUCGUAAUUCUAAACAAUGAUAUUUUGCAUCAAGUAUUUACAAUAACACAUCUGUUAAUAGACAAUAAAUAUAGUAUAAAAUAGUGUCAUGAAUGUCAUACUGAUUUACUAUUAGCUGUCAUUAAUUGACAGAUCAAGUUACAUAGACAACUUCUUGAUGAAUUACUCAAAUGCUCUGCCAUGGCUGUACUGAUCAUUAAUGUAGUUCAGUAUAUAGUAAGGAACACAAAGAAAUGUUUUUGAAAACAGUAAAUAUCAUCAGCACAUAUUUGCAAUAAACUUAAUAGCAAGUACAUAUUGAUAACAAAUUCACAAAUUCAUUAUUAAAAAAUAAUUUCAAAAGAAAGCUUUGUCUUUGCUUUUUAACUUCCUUGUCAGGCAUGCAGCCAGUGUAGCUUCUUUUACUUGCAGUCAUUUAGGUAUAUUUCGAAGAAAUACCAACCUUCUCUAGCCGUUACCAUAUAUAUAUAUAUAUAUAUAUAUAUAUAUAUAU
Long non-coding RNA from Bacillus rossius redtenbacheri, 2187 nucleotides. RefSeq lists it as uncharacterized. The record is from RefSeq and is a predicted model, not a curated record. NCBI's taxonomy places the organism in Eukaryota, Metazoa, Arthropoda, Insecta, Phasmatodea, Bacillidae. The transcript has 4 exons.